RNAcentral lists this ribosomal RNA (442 nucleotides) under uncultured bacterium. Its description in RNAcentral is "partial 16S ribosomal RNA". It matches the Rfam family "Bacterial small subunit ribosomal RNA", at positions 339 to 795 of the family's 1533-position model. The record is from RNAcentral.
CUACGGGAGGCACCAGUGGGGGAUAUUGCGCAAUGGGGGAAACCCUGACGCAGCAAUGCCGCGUGAAGGAAGAAGGUUUUCGGAUCGUAAACUUUUGUCUUCAGGGACGAAACAAAUGACGGUACCUGAGGAGGAAGCCACGGCUAACUACGUGCCAGCAGCCGCGGUAAUACGUAGGUGGCAAGCGUUGUCCGGAUUUACUGGGUGUAAAGGGCGUGUAGGCGGGAUUGCAGGUCAGAUGUGAAAUACUCGGGCUUAACCCGAGGGCUGCAUUUGAAACCACAGUUCUUGAGUGCUGGAGAGGGAAGCGGAAUUCCUAGUGUAGCGGUGAAAUGCGUAGAUAUUAGGAGGAACACCAGUGGCGAAGGCGGCUUUCUGGACAGUAACUGACGCUGAGGCGCGAAAGCAUGGGGAGCAAACAGGAUUAGAUACCCUCGUAGUC